RNAcentral lists this ribosomal RNA (339 nucleotides) under Climacostomum virens. RNAcentral describes it as "partial Bacterial large subunit ribosomal RNA". It matches the Rfam family "Bacterial large subunit ribosomal RNA", at positions 35 to 430 of the family's 2925-position model. The record is from RNAcentral. Lineage: Eukaryota; Ciliophora; Heterotrichea; Heterotrichida; Climacostomidae.
GGCACUGAGAGGCGAUGAAGGACGCAGCACGUUGCGAUAAGUCACGGGGAGCCGCGAGCAGGCUUUGAUCCGUGAAUCUCCGAAUGGGGCAACCCACCGCGCAAGCGGUAUCCCACACUGAAUCCAUAGGUGUGGGAGGCGAACCCGGCGAACUGAAACAUCUAAGUAGCCGGAGGAAAGGACAUCAACAGAGACUCCGCUAGUAGUGGCGAGCGAACGCGGACCAGGCCAGUCAGUCUAUCUACAUAACCGGAACCGUCUGGAAAGUCGGACCACAGUGGGUGAUAGUCCCGUAUGGGUAAACCGGAUAGACUGCUCGAGUAGGGCGGGACACGUGAA